Chelonia mydas (Green sea turtle) is the source of this 1568-nucleotide long non-coding RNA. RefSeq lists it as uncharacterized. The record is from RefSeq and is a predicted model, not a curated record. Lineage: Eukaryota; Metazoa; Chordata; Testudines; Cheloniidae. The transcript has 5 exons.
CCGCCCCCUCCUCCCUCACGUGUCCCCCCGCCGCCAACCAGCGGCCGCCCGCAGCCCUCCGCGCCCCAGGCCGCGUGAGGCGGCAGGUUCGCAUCUGCUGGCGGCGCCGGCCGGCCGGAGGGGCGCGGGGACGCGGCUGCGAGAGAAGAAAUACUAUUUUUUGCAUACCUUGGUACCCUAUAGAGGCACAGGAAACCACCAAUGACAUACGCCUACCUUUGAUGUAACCACAUCUAAAAUAUUGUUGGUUUGUGACACAGGACAGAGUGACUUUUGAAAGAUGGAUUCAUGCUCCACGUAGUAGCACUCAGCAGCAUUGCUCAACCUAGGAGGCAGGAAGGAGAAACUUGUUCAGAGUGAGCAAGCUUCAGUCUCCAAGGAAGCAACUUCCUGGGGGAACAACUUCCUACUGAUGUUGAAGACAAGAGGUUCCACUACUACCACUUCUUGUGACAGUACAGCCCCAAGGCUGACAUCAGAUGCAUCCAUUAAGUGUGGAAAGACUUAUGGAAGUGAUAACUUCUUUAGAAGAGUACACUCUGAGGACUACAAGAAACAAGCACCAAUGUAUUUUCACUCUUGGAACUCUCAAGUUGAACACUGCGAGCUGGCUCCUUCAGUAUGGUGUAGCGGCGUUGCACUAUCUUGCUCGUGUUUUUUUGGCUACAAAACCUGCGCAAAAGGCCCCUGGAGGAUGCAAGUUUAACCCUGCAAUGGCAUACAGCUGACAGGGGCUCAUACGUAACACCUCUUUCUUGUUGCUGGUGAGCAGGAAAAGGGGAUGUGGUUACUGAAAAGGAGGAGUGAUGAAGACACACCUACACAACACCGAUCUUGAAUUAGAGGUUUAACCUUUUGCAGCUUCUACAGAUUGGUGUAAAUUAGAACAACCAUCAGAAUGCUCUAAUGCUGUAGGGGAGGGGGAUAUAAGCAUGAAAGGGGGUCAAUUUAUGAAUUUGUCAGGGUGCUGAAAUCUGACAACCUAAGUUUGUCAAUAUAUAAUAGAAUCCGGUAGGAUAACCCCGUUUUAUUGAGCCAAAGAGGUUUUAGCUUACUAUUUUUAACUCUGGUUUCUUUUCAGGUCAACUUUUAACUUGAAUAGUAUUUUUCAAGUCAGAACUCCUGCUUAUUCUUAACUAACCAACAAUUUAUUAAUUCAUCCAGAACCACAUUAAUAUACAAUCAACAGUUCACCACUCAAAUGUAGACACAACCAAUUGUGUGUACCACACACACAAUACAGUCUUGCUAGCAAUCAUCAUAGACUAGAGCUGAGGCUCAGCGGUUGUAUCCAGGAAUAAUACAAUUUACCAAGAUUUCUUAUUACAUUUACUUAUGAUAAUAAAUUCUCAAUUCCUAACACAUUUAUCACAUUUCCAAGGAUCCACUGAUCUUGAAGGCAUCUUUUAAGAGUGUGGUACUCCUCUUUGACUGGAUUGGCGCAGAAGAGAACGGUUUAGAAUAUUAAAAGUAGGGCUGUCAAUCGCAAUUAACACACGCAAUUAACUCAAAAAAUGAAUCAUGAUUAAAAAAAUUAAUCAUGAUUAAUCAUAGUUUUAAUAGCACUG